AUUCCCUUCAGUGGUUAAAAAGUUAGUUGGAAGUGCUUUUUCUGACCGAGGAGGGACAAAGCAGCCAGUUCCAACUGGUCUGGCAGAGUCCCUGGGACAACGCCCUGCUAGAGAACAAUGGGGGGGAAGGGAAGAGGCACACCUUCCCAUGGAUUCAAAGGGGCAGAAAAAGUGUUCCAAAAUCCAAUAAGCCCAAACAAUGUUUAUAAUGGGCAAAAACUCCCAGAGGCCAUAGUCAGAAGAUAUGAGACGGGCAACAAGGCCCCUCCAAAAACCAGUGUCGAGGUCACUUUCGCCGCACUGUCCCUUCCUGCUCCUUGCUGUCCCUUCCUGCUCCUUGCUGUCCCUUCCUGCUCAUUGCUGAUCCUUCCUGCUCAUUGCUGACCCUUUCUGCUCAUUGCAGACCUUUCCUGCUCCUUGCUGCCCCUUUCUGCUCCUUGCUGACCCCUCCUGCCCCUUGCUGACCCUUUCUGCUUUUUGCUGAACAU
This is a non-coding RNA of Pelobates cultripes (western spadefoot toad), 488 nucleotides long. The record is from the annotation of a GenBank genome assembly. NCBI's taxonomy places the organism in Eukaryota, Metazoa, Chordata, Amphibia, Anura, Pelobatidae.